CAGAAAGACAAGGGCUAGUUUGUGAGACAAUUCCUUUGCUUGGUUGAAAAUGUUGUUGCUAGUGCAGCCUAGUUACUUAAAUCUGCCUGGAUUUUUGCUGCUACCAGUGGCUGUUCCUGUAAAUUGUAAUGGAUCUAUAAGUCACAUUGAAACGCCAGGGCUGCUUUUCAGUCAUGCUCACCAUACUUCCUUUUCCUGAAGCAAGUAUUCAUGAAGAUUUUCACCUACUCUUUGCAGCCAUUGAAUCUCCAGCUCACAGGAAAGCCACUCUGAAUGAGUCGUGACAAAAAUGUGGCAGGGGAGAGAGCUGGCAGUGAAAAACAGAAAUUCUUGAAAAGUAAUGAAUCUUUCCUAAAAUCAGCCUGUGUGGAACAAGUUAACUUAGGUGAAGCUGAGUUCAUCAGGAUCUGCUCGGUAAAAUUAUAA
RNAcentral lists this long non-coding RNA (426 nucleotides) under Zonotrichia albicollis (white-throated sparrow). Its description in RNAcentral is "lncRNA (ENSZALG00000008915.1)". Lineage: Eukaryota; Metazoa; Chordata; Aves; Passeriformes; Passerellidae. The record is from RNAcentral.